GCAACAGUGCGAUCAUGAUGGCGAUCAAAGCCAGUACACCCUCUUACUCGGCGAUCGACUGGGAGAUUAGUUUGCUCUUAAUCGUAGUUUAUAGAGCAUUUAACAUCUUGUAUUUCGCAGCUUUGUAAUGAACAUUUGAUAAUAAAGGAAUUUAUUUGAACGUAUUUCGCUCUGGCCCUUUUUGCUCUACGAUCGUUCAAAUACGAUUUGGUUACGCUUUUAUUUGUUCACUUUCCCAUAAGGAAGGAACAUACUUUUUCAAAUAUUUGCCAUUAAUGAACCUCAUGUGCUUGGUGCCGUCUAAAUCUUCCAAAUGAUAGGCUCCAUUAGGCAAUACAUUAUUCACUUUAUAUGGUCCUUCCCAAUUGGGAGACCAUUUGCCAUACUUUGGAUCUUUGCUAUCCAAAGGGAGUACUAUUUUUCAAAGCAGUUCGCCCAGGCUGAACGACUUG
This 452-nucleotide long non-coding RNA is filed under the name Olea europaea (common olive). RNAcentral describes it as "long non-coding RNA (OEUR_LNC000531)". The record is from RNAcentral. Lineage: Eukaryota; Viridiplantae; Streptophyta; Magnoliopsida; Lamiales; Oleaceae.